RNAcentral lists this ribosomal RNA (252 nucleotides) under uncultured Coriobacteriales bacterium. RNAcentral describes it as "partial 16S ribosomal RNA". It matches the Rfam family "Bacterial small subunit ribosomal RNA", at positions 524 to 776 of the family's 1533-position model. The record is from RNAcentral. Lineage: Bacteria; Bacillati; Actinomycetota; Coriobacteriia; Coriobacteriales.
UACGUAGGGGGCGAGCGUUAUCCGGAUUCAUUGGGCGUAAAGCGCGCGUAGGCGGCCUGUUAGGUCGGGAGUUAAAUCCGGGGGCUCAACCCCCGCCCGCUCCCGAUACCGGCAGGCUUGAGUCUGGUAGGGGAAGGCGGAAUUCCCAGUGUAGCGGUGGAAUGCGCAGAUAUUGGGAAGAACACCGGUGGCGAAGGCGGCCUUCUGGGCCACGACUGACGCUGAGGCGCGAAAGCUAGGGGAGCGAACAGG